GACGAACGCUGGCGGCGUGCUUAACACAUGCAAGUCGAGCGGUAAGGCCCUUUCGGGGGUACACGAGCGGCGAACGGGUGAGUAACACGUGGGUGACCUGCCCUCAGCUCUGGGAUAAGCCUGGGAAACUGGGUCUAAUACUGGAUAUGACUCCACGGUGCAUGUCGUGGGGUGGAAAGCCUUGUGCGGCUGAGGAUGGGCCCGCGGCCUAUCAGCUUGUUGGUGGGGUGANGGCCUACCAAGGCGACGACGGGUAGCCGGCCUGAGAGGGCGACCGGCCACACUGGGACUGAGACACGGCCCAGACUCCUACGGGAGGCAGCAGUGGGGAAUCUUGCGCAAGUGGGCGAAAGCCUGACGCAGC
This 364-nucleotide ribosomal RNA is filed under the name uncultured bacterium. RNAcentral's name for it is "bacterial SSU rRNA". It matches the Rfam family "Bacterial small subunit ribosomal RNA", at positions 28 to 392 of the family's 1533-position model. The record is from RNAcentral.